Molecule: unclassified non-coding RNA, 2466 nt
Filed under: Hevea brasiliensis (rubber tree)
Lineage: Eukaryota; Viridiplantae; Streptophyta; Magnoliopsida; Malpighiales; Euphorbiaceae
Source: RNAcentral
ACCUCUGCAGUAAGUCAUUCUCUUGUCGUGCCGGUUAGGGCUUUUUUAAAUUCUCUUGAUUUUCCUUUUCGCCAAUUUUCUUCCAAUUACGGCAAUCGUUUGGGUAUAUUGAAGGUACUCUCUCUAGGGUUUGAAAUUAUUGAAGAAUUCACCGUGUACUAUUAGAUACUAUUUUUGCUUUGAUUAUUAGUUUUGUUGAUUUAUUGUAAUUUUGGUUUGGUGUAUGAAGUCCAAAUUAGCUUUUGUUUUUACUAUAUAAAUGUUGAUCAAUUAUACUAUGGCAAAUUAUGGUAGUUGCCCUUUCGGAUCGUAUAAGAAAGUUAUUUUUUUCGCCUCUUUUUUUUUCCUCUAUAUGGCUUCGAGGUUAUAUGGAAAUCGAUGAUUCGCGCACGAGGGGAUUAUUUUUGCGUUGUCCAUAUGAAGGUUUCUGAUCAGUAUUUUCUGUGUUAUGACAUGCUUUGUUCUCUUGAUUAUUAAGAUCCUGGUAGAUUUUGUGCUACUUGGUGACUUUGAGGUUGCUUGAUGUUCAUGUUAUGGACUUUGUUUUCUGAUUGUUGCUUUUUGAAACGCUUGCGUUAAUUGAGAAAAUAUGGAAGGGUUCUUCCGCAGUUGAUUACUUCUUCUCUUUUGCCUUGUAAAAUAUGGUCAUUUUCCAUUCAUAAUUUAUAUUUGAUAAUAAGCAUUUUUUUAUUGGUACUUCCUAGGCUGUGUUGCAUUAUGACUCAUUUAAGUUCGUUUUGUAGUUUUCCUGUGAUUACAAAAGCUGAUGAGAUUAAUAUGUUAAACAAAUUUGUUUUGGGAAUGUUUGCUGUUUUUCAGGGGUUGUACUUGUCUAAAAAUGCAAGGAGGGAGGGGCAGCAGGGAUCCGUUUUCUAAUUUUGGUGAUCCCUUUGGUGGUUUUGGGGGCUUUGGUGGGUUUGGGAGUCACCGGAGUUUGUUGUCCAAUUUUUUUGGUGGAAGGGACCCAUUUGAUGAUCCUUUCUUUACACGUCCAUUUGGAGGCAUGUUUGAGUCAAGCUUUUUUGGUUCUAGUGGUAGCCCAUUUGCUAGCAUGCAUCCAUCUGCAUUUCUUGAGCAUCAAGCUCCAGAGCCUAAAUUGUCUAGGGGUCCAAUUAUUGAAGAAUUGAACUCUGAUGAUGAAAAGGAUGAAGCUGAUAAAGACAAGAAAGAGAAUCCAAGAAAACAUGGUAGAUCAAGCAAGGGUCCGUAUGUUGAGGACCCAGAUGAUGAUGAUGCUGAAGAGAGAAAGAACAAGCACUUGCAGUAUAUAAAUGGUCGCAACAGGUACCCGGCCAUGGAGCAGCCCCAAACUCGCAGCUUUACUUUUCAGAGCUCUACUGUAACAUACGGUGGUUCCAAUGGUGCUUAUUAUACUUCAUCGAAGAGUAGGAGGACUGGGAGUGAUGGGGUGACAAUUGAAGAAAGCAAAGAAGCUGAUAGUGCUACAAGGCAAGCAGCUCACAGGAUUUCUCGGGGACUUAAAGGCAAGGGUCAUACCCUUGAAAGGAGGCUUAAUUCAGAUGGUAAGGUGGAUGCCAUGCAGACCUUGCAUAAUAUCCAAGAAGGUAGGCACUCAUUGUUUGUCAUUCUCAUAUGAUUGAUAUUGGUGCAUUCUUUGGGAGUAAACAAAAGAUUUGGACUGUUAUGUCAUUAGAUGAGCUUGCUGGUUUUGAAGAAGCUUGGAAAGGAAGUGCUAGACAGUGUCUUCCUGGCUGGAGUGGGAGUUUCAGUGGCCAUGAUAGUAUCGGUGCUAGCAUUGGCGGACAGAAUGCACAGGCAAGCAGGGGAGGUUGGGCGCUUCCAUCCACCGAGCAUGCACAGCAUUUGAAUAGGACUGUAGCAGAUGCUAGAGACAGGGCAGGGUCUUCUGGGAUGCAGCACUCAGGAGGAAUGAAAGGUUAUUCGGACGUGAAAGGCAAGAAUGGAUAUUCUCGAGGGAGAACAAGAGAUUAAGGAGAUUCUUGAAGAAUGUAUGCAGCCUUCUUCGGGGGCUUAUCCACUUUAGUAGUCUGAGAAUGGGUCACAGGAAAUAUUAUUAGUAGCAUUUUGAUAAAUUUGGUUUUACCGUGACUGCAUUAGCACCGGCAGAUGAGGUGCUUAAUGUGUUGGUUCAAUAUAGUCUGCAGUUAUAUCCCAGGAGGAUUAUACCUGCCUACUUCUGAUACCGUUUUAACUCAUUAUAUUGAAUGCAUUCUACGCUAUCAUUUGGUUUUGUGUAGCAUUACUGGAAUAGUGAUUUUCAGGCUUUUUACCCAACAAUCUUAUGCGUUCCUCAUCAAAGCUGGAAGUGUUAAAGCGUUGAUCAUUUGGUUAAUGUUCUAUCUACAUCCUCUAAAAUGUUAAUAGGCUGUAGAAAGAUUAAUUCGAUUGAGGUGGAGUAACCUUUUAAGACUUGUUUGUUGUAAAGUUAAAUUUUCAAUAAAAAGUCAAUGGUCAAUAAAUGUAUAUGCAUAGAAUUUAUCAAAG